Long non-coding RNA from Serinus canaria (Common canary), 5864 nucleotides. RefSeq lists it as uncharacterized. The transcript is spliced from 3 exons. Lineage: Eukaryota; Metazoa; Chordata; Aves; Passeriformes; Fringillidae. The record is from RefSeq and is a predicted model, not a curated record.
CGGGCGGGAGGGGAGGGAGGGGCCGAGCUCGGAGCUGAGUGGAAGCGGCCAAGCUCCCCGGGCCGGGCCCGCCGUCAGCACGUCACGUCACUGCCCGAGAGAGCCCAGGAGCAGGCGGAAGGGAGCGCGCCGCCACCGCCGCCUCGGGCCGCCCGCCCGCGGGGGCCGGUGCGGCCGAGCGGGCCGGGGGCCUGUGCGGGGCGGGCGAGGCGGCGGUCGGGGCGGCGGGGCGGGGGCGGCGCGGCGGCGCUCGGUCCCGCGGCUCCUCCUGCCGCCGCCUCCGCCGCGGCUCGGCCGCGCUGCGCCGCCCGGGGCUCGGCGUGCGCCCGCGGAGCACAGAGGUGCCCCGGGACCCCCUCCCCACCCGACCCCUCCAUACCGGGCGAGACCCCCCCCGCGCGCCGCCAGGCCCGCGGCCCGGCCCGGCCCCAGAGUGCGGGCCGGAGGCUCCGCGCCCCCGCCGCGGGCUUGGAGUGGGGUCUGCGCGGCGGGCAGCGGUUUUUAGGGUGUGGGGACUCCGCUCUGGGGUGGACGCGGGUCACCCCGGCGCGGGGCGCGGCUCCCGGCCGGAAUUGCCGGGAACCACAAGGACAGCGGAAAGCAGCGGGGUGCGGUGCCGGACCCCCGGUCCCCACGGAGAACACGGACGGCGCUCCGCGGGGGUCACUGGCACUCACGUAACAGCAGAACCGGGGCGGUUGGGAGGUGGUGGUUCGCAUUUUGGGGAUUAUGGAAAAUUGGAAGUAAUUUGGCGUUUAAACCUAAGGCCUGUCUAGAGUUGUUUUCUCAUCCUUGUCAUAAAAGUUAAUAAGAAUUUUCUUUUUUUUUUUUUUUUUUUUUUUUUAAGGAGAGAGUUGCUGUUGAUCCAUGAAAGAUGCACCCUAAAGUUUUCGAGGCAUUAGAAAUUAGAGAAAAGAAAAAGAAGAAGAAAGAGAAAAAGAAAAGAAGAAAAGAAAAAGAAGAAAGAGAAAAAAGGAUGAGAAAAAUGAAAAGAAAAAAGAUAAAGAAAAGAAAGGAAAAGAAGAAAAGAGGAGAAAAAGGAGAAAAAUAAAAGGAAAGAAAAGAUGAAACAAAAGGAAAGGAAAAAAGUAAGAGAAGAGUUUUUUAAAUUGAAAAGCUAUAUAAAAAAAACUUGAAAACAGAUCUUUAAAAAGCAGGGUGGUCCUUGUGUUGAACAGGAGUACCUUGCAUCCUGUGGAGAACUGGUAAGUUAUUUGUUUGCAUUAAAAUCUCUGACAUGUCUUGGUUUACAAAUAUUCAGUAGGCUUCUUAAUCCUUAGUUGUACUUAGUUGUUAAAGGAAGGCUUUCCCAGGCAAUUUUGUUUCUAGUCAUCCUGAUUUCCGUUGUGCAAGUUUAAAGGUAUUUUUAAUUAGGACAGUUAAUUAUUUAUUCUACAAUUUCAAAUAACAGCUCUUAGUUUGAACUCUCAUUGGUUGCGGGGGGGGGGGGGGGCGGACAUUAAAAAAUCCAUUAUUUCCUCCAUAAAUUUCAUUUACCUUAUUUGCCCAUUAAUCAAAAAUACAGCCUAGAGUUGUUGGCGUGUACAUGUAACAAAGGUAAAAGGACUGGUAAAUGUUCAACCUGACACAGUGUUAGAAGUCAGCACUGAUGGAUCUUGAAAAAGAAAGGGUAGAGAAGACUCGGAGUUCCUUUCCUCGGCUGGUGGGGCUGUAGAUGGCCCUGAGGGUUAUCUGCUUCGGUGACUGUAUGAGCAUUGUGUUUUGAAACAGAAACAGCCCCUCCCUGUUUCUCUAGUAAAUCCUUUAACAAGAGAGCAAGACAUUACAAACCAAAGCAUUACACAGAGAGACCAACCUUCUUUUUGGGGAGACUUCAAUGGGACAACACUGAUUUUUAGUGUUUGUCAGUUCAAAGCUAUGUUAUUUGGUCUCUUUCCAGCAAAACUCUUCUGUAGCUACAUUAACUGUGCUCACCUUGAGUGGAUGGGAAGCUGGUAAUCAGCUUCCACCUGGAGCAGCUUUCACCAGUCCUUAAAGCAGCCAGGCUGCUCUGGAACGUACCAAGAGUCCACUUUCCUGAGAUGUUAUGUGUCUAAACCUUCCCAUAAGGCUCAAAAUGCUUUCCAAGACAAAAUGUCUGGUUUUAUCUGCAAAAAUGAAUUCCCAGCAUGAACACACAGGUUGGUAGAACAGCAACAGUGUGAAGUAGCGAUUAAUUUAAAGGAGCAAUUAAGCUUUCAGAAAAAUGGAAGUAAUUUAAGAUUCCAGUUUCCAAACAGUUAAAGCACAAGCUCACCUUCAAGUGCACAAGGGUCCCAGCAGUGUUAACAGGACAAUUUGUGUGCCUGAAGCGCACAAGUGCAUGGUUCACAGGGCUGUACCAGUGUUUUUAAUGAGGCAGGAAGCAAGGAGCCAAAACCAUAUGGAGAAUAUGUGAAUGCUUGUGAUUGCUGUGGAAGGACUAAUUAUAUCCCCAUACCUCUCUCUGGUGUGAAGUAUGACACCAUGUUAGAUUUUUAAAGGAUUAAUUUGUAUGCAAUUACCGCCAAUGCAAUAAAUGGGAGACAGUUUAAAGAAAUAAAAAUCAUAGUUGCUAAACUUUGUUAUCAACAGCAUUUUGGCUGUAGCCAAGAAAAAGUACAAAAGAUUAUUCUAUUUCUGUAUGCCCAGUGCUAGUCACCAAGGUUAAAAAAUGUUGCUUUAAUGAAAACUUGUAAAAGCUGAGACUUAACUCUGUUGUGUGGUAGUUAGGAUGAUGUUGCAAAUGAGGUAUUUUGAGAUACAUAAUAGAUUACUUAAUCAAAUAGAUGAUUAAGCAAAACUGGGAAGAGAAAUGAGUUCAGAGAACCCUAAGGUGCAUUUGCAGGAGAAAACACUUUUCAGGUCUUCAUUGAGCAACAAAUAAACGAAAAUAACUUAUUAUAGAAAAGUAUAAUGUUUGGCAGGGGAAGGGGUUUUCUAAAUAACAUAAUGAAUCCAGUCUAGUACGUUGGAUUUCUUUACAAAUGCCCACACAGAGGCAAAAAGGGAGAACUCCUGCCCUGAUUCAUUUGAAUCCUUAGGAUUGUGUAACAUGAGACUAAAUUAAGUGAAUCUUGAUUUUUUUUCCUCCAACUCUACUGAAAUAUUCAAAAAACUAUACUAGGCUUUAGAAAGAAACUGAACAGAAAAAUUUGUGGUUUUUAAAUGUAUAGCAUGCAAUUUCUUAAUGAAGCCUUCCUCAACACAAGUAAAUAACAUAUAUAUUAACAUUACUUCAACUAAAAUAUUUAAAUGGUUUUCACCUGUGAGCACAGUGUGCUAGUGCCUUGUUUUAUAAAAGACAUUGAAGAAUGUGUAUUUAAAUAUUUGAGGUAAUGCCUUGAACAAGAUAUCUGUUCUUUGGUAACAAAAUUCUCUUGCUAAUUUGUUCUUUCUUCAUUGCAUAUAUAGUGCCCACGUUAGGAGUUCUUGUUUGGUUGGUUUUUAAUCCUUUCAGGGUAAGAAAGGAGAAUUUAUUUACAUACAUGUAUCACACAGUUUUCGACUGUUACAGCUUCUAUGUUAUUCACCAUAAACCAAAAUUUCUGUAAAAUUGCUUAUUUUAGCUGGGUUCUUAGCUGGAAAAUAUGAAACAUGCACUUUUACUAGACCACUGAGGUAGACUGGAGAUGAAUGGAACAUUCGAUGAGCACGUACAGAUGGAGCUUUACAGAAACAAGAGCAGCAACACGAAGCCAGAGCACAUUAGUAAUUUUAGCACCGUGAAUAAAAUCUGAUAUUCGGCUGGAAAUGGCAUAUCCCAAAUACUCAGUAAGUCUCAGAAAUAACUACUGACACGCUUCAACUUUGUACCAUCUACAUCUGUGUAGAUGGUACAAAGCUGUAGAUCUUUGUACAUCUACAUUUGUGUCCCCAACCAUUAGAAAUGCAAAUGCACACCUCUGUUCAGGUAGCUAAACAUGACCUAAAGAGGGUAAAAAAAUAAAAUCACUCUGAAGCAAAUCCUUGGUAAAGUGAGAAAGCUCACAAGGCAUCUCUCACUAUUUUCAUCCUGGCCAAGAAAAUCAAAAUUUUCAACUUCCUUAGCUGUACAUGAUAUUGUCUUCUCAUUUUGCCUUCAUCAUCUCAGCAUCACAGCUCAGUGACUGAGGAGGGGGUGGUACACCCAUCAGCACACAACGUAUUUGCACUUAGACUGUUCACACUUGUCUCCCCAAUGCAGAGACAUGUUCCAUGUAUUCAGCAGUCUCAAAAUCCCAUUACUUAUCACUCAUGUCAGCAGUCAAAGCUUUCCAUUAGAGGAAAUCUAACAUUUUGGUGACAAAAGAAGAACACUGUACGUGAUCUGCCCCCCAGGCCCCAGCAGUGGUGUGACAGGAUAUACAGCAGGGUAGAAAGAAGUAAUCGUUGUGAGAGCCUCACCCUGCCUGGAAAAGCCAUAGGGAAAGCAGGUCAAUGCACAACUUCAGUAAGAUUAUGGCACUGGUGUUCUUUAAAUUGCAGAUCAAGAGAGACACAAUCUCCAAAAUAUCUGAAUGUCUAAGAAUGUCUGUGGCUGCUUAACCAUUUUCUCAGAAGCUUUUGGCACGCGUUUCAUUGGACCCACAGGUGCAGUGCACUGCGAAAGGACUCUGCACUGAAUUUCUCCCUGGAGCUGGUGCCAUCCAAGCACUCUGCUGUAGCUUACAUUCUCUUUCAUGCUCACCCCUCCUGCCACCAGACUAGGCAAGACUUACAUUUACCCAAGUUCCUCAAUUCACAAUUACAGAAAGAGAUUCCAAAGCAUGAAAGAUGCAAUCCUUGAAACAGACAUAUUUAAGAUUGUAGAUUGACCUGGAGAGUCAGAGAGAACUACAGCUGACUCCUGCUUUUAAAAUGGAAAAGCACUAUUCAAAAAUUAAUGUAUUUACUCUCAACACCAUGUGAGGUAGUACUUUACAAAUGGAAAAACUGAGUACAGGAAUAUAGACAGAGUAAAGGAACACAAUACAGUGCAAAAUCAGGAACAAAAUGCAAGCUCUUUCAUCAAAGUUGAGUCUGGUGAGUGAAAUCAUGUUUACCUUUAGAAAGCCCUUGAAGAUAUUGAAUAAAACCAGAAGCAAGCUUUGAAAACACGCAGCACUUUGUACCAAAAUAUGCUAAGUAGCAUAACUUGCUAAAUAGUAUAUAAAACAGCUAGAACUAUGUAUAUUAGUACAAAUGAAGAAGUGAAAUCUAAAUGGAUUAAAGUAUUAGCACCCUACAGUAAGUUUAUUACAUUAUGUUUUAUCCUGAGGCAUGUGAUUCAGAGUAGCUAAACAAAAGUGCUUUUAUACCUUUUUUCCUCUUCCUAUUCACAAUUCCACCAUUACUCUGCCCCCACCCCAAAUCAUUCCUUUCCACAACCUCUUCCCAAUAUUUUAUAUUUGCUCAACAAAAUUUUAAGGUCUUUUACUCCUACUGUAUAAAUAACUCCAAGGUUAUUCGCACAGAGUUUCAUGAUGACAAAGUUAUGUUCCAAUUAAUCAGAUUAUUUUUAUAAAUCCAUGCUAAAAUAGGCCAAAAACCAGUACUGCCAGUUCAGAUCCAGUUUACUUGUGUUUUUUUGGGGGGAUUUAAGAAAACAUGUAGUAAUAUCAGAAAUGACAAAUUCAAGUCAGUCAAUACUGCCAUCCUAAUUACAAAGUGUAAUACUUUAGAAUCAUAAAAUCAAGAACCAUAGAAACAAAGAAAUAAAGUUUUUGUUGGUAACAGUUGUCUAAACAAAACAAAUUGUGCAGAAAAGGUACUACGUCUUCCAAGAAGACUUUGCUUGCUUUUAAUUUUUGUACUUGAACAAUCACUGCAGUCUUUUGUUACUCAGAAAAACUGUAUGAAUUAAUGAAAAUAAGCAAUAUUUUAUUUCAAUACCAGAUUUAUGGUUUUUGUGUUACACUGGGGCU